CCUACGGGAGGCAGCAGUGAGGAAUAGUGGUCAAUGGACGCAAGUCUGAACCAGCCAUGCCGCGUGCAGGAUGACGGCUCUAUGAGUUGUAAACUGCUUUUGUACGAGGGUAAACCCCGAUACGUAUAUCUGGUUGAAAGUAUCGUACGAAUAAGGAUCGGCUAACUCCGUGCCAGCAGCCGCGGUAAUACGGAGGAUCCGAGCGUUAUCCGGAUUUAUUGGGUUUAACGGGUGCGUAGGCGGUUGGAUAAGUUAGAGGUGAAAUGGCGGGGCUCAACCCCGAAACUGCCUCUGAUACUGUUGGACUAGAGAAUAGUUGCGGUAGGCGGAAUGUCUGGUGUAGCGGUGAAAUGCUUAGAGAUCAUACAGAACCCCGAUUGCGAAGGCAGCUUACCAAACUAUAUCUGACGUUGAGGCACGAACGCGUGGGUAGCAAACAGGAUUAGAUACCCGGGUAGUC
RNAcentral lists this ribosomal RNA (460 nucleotides) under uncultured bacterium. RNAcentral describes it as "partial 16S ribosomal RNA". It matches the Rfam family "Bacterial small subunit ribosomal RNA", at positions 338 to 795 of the family's 1533-position model. The record is from RNAcentral.